GACGAACGCUGGCGGCGUGCCUAAUACAUGCAAGUCGAACGAGUGGCGGACGGGGGAGUAAUGUCUGGGAAACUGCCGGAUGGAGGGGGAUAACCAAUGGAAACGGUCGCUAACACCGCAUACCAUCAGAUGUGCCAAGAUGGGAUUAGCUAGGAGGUUGGGUACCGGAUCACCUAGGCGACGAUCCCUAGCUGGUCUGAGAGGUGGACCGUCCACCCUGGAACUUAGCCACGGUCCAGGCUCCUACGGGAGGCAGCAGGGGGGAAUAUUGCACAAUGGGCGCAAGCCUGAUGCAUCCAUGCCGCGUGUGGGAUGAGGGCCUUCGGGUUUUAAAGCAUUUUCAGCGUGGAUGCGUUACCCGCAGAAGAAGCACCGGCUAACUCCGUGCCAGCAGCCGCGGUAAUUC
This 406-nucleotide ribosomal RNA is filed under the name uncultured bacterium. RNAcentral's name for it is "partial 16S ribosomal RNA". It matches the Rfam family "Bacterial small subunit ribosomal RNA", at positions 28 to 526 of the family's 1533-position model. The record is from RNAcentral.